Molecule: ribosomal RNA, 250 nt
Filed under: uncultured prokaryote
Description: partial 16S ribosomal RNA
Rfam family: Bacterial small subunit ribosomal RNA
Source: RNAcentral
UACGGAGGGUGCAAGCGUUAUCCGGAUUUAUUGGGUUUAAAGGGUGCGUAGGCGGCUUGUUAAGUCAGGGGUGAAAGUCGGUAGCUCAACUAUCGAAUUGCCUUUGAUACUGGCAGGCUUGAAUCAAGUUGAAGAGGGCGGAAUGUGACAUGUAGCGGUGAAAUGCUUAGAUAUGUCCCAGAACACCGAUUGCGAAGGCAGCUCUCUAAGCUUGCAUUGACGCUGAUGCACGAAAGCAUGGGGAUCAAAC